UACAGAGGAGCCAAGCGUUGUCCGGAUUGACUGGGCGUAAAGCGCACGCAGGCGGAUGCGCGCGUGGGGUGUGAAAUCUGGCCGCUUAACGGCCAGGCGCCAUCCCAUACGGCGCGUCUGGAGUGAUGCAGAGGUCGAUGGAAUUGCCGGUGUAGUGGUGAAAUGCGUAGAGAUCGGCAGGAACACCCAGGGGGAAACCAGUCGACUGGGCAUCUACUGACGCUGAGGUGCGAGAGCGUGGGGAGCAAACGGG
RNAcentral lists this ribosomal RNA (253 nucleotides) under uncultured bacterium. RNAcentral's name for it is "partial 16S ribosomal RNA". It matches the Rfam family "Bacterial small subunit ribosomal RNA", at positions 524 to 776 of the family's 1533-position model. The record is from RNAcentral.